Molecule: ribosomal RNA, 465 nt
Filed under: Vreelandella stevensii
Lineage: Bacteria; Pseudomonadati; Pseudomonadota; Gammaproteobacteria; Oceanospirillales; Halomonadaceae
Description: partial 16S ribosomal RNA
Rfam family: Bacterial small subunit ribosomal RNA
Source: RNAcentral
CCUACGGGAGGCAGCAGUGGGGAAUAUUGGACAAUGGGGGCAACCCUGAUCCAGCCAUGCCGCGUGUGUGAAGAAGGCCCUCGGGUUGUAAAGCACUUUCAGUGAGGAAGAACGCCUGGUGGUUAAUACCCAUCAGGAAAGACAUCACUCACAGAAGAAGCACCGGCUAACUCCGUGCCAGCAGCCGCGGUAAUACGGAGGGUGCGAGCGUUAAUCGGAAUUACUGGGUGUAAAGCGCGCGUAGGUGGCUUGAUAAGCCGGUUGUGAAAGCCCCGGGCUCAACCUGGGAACGGCAUCCGGAACUGUCAAGCUAGAGUGCAGGAGAGGAAGGUAGAAUUCCCGGUGUAGCGGUGAAAUGCGUAGAGAUCGGGAGGAAUACCAGUGGCGAAGGCGGCCUUCUGGACUGACACUGACACUGAGGUGCGAAAGCGUGGGUAGCAAACAGGAUUAGAUACCCUAGUAGUC